This 178-nucleotide unclassified non-coding RNA is filed under the name uncultured Amanita. RNAcentral describes it as "sequence contains ITS1". The record is from RNAcentral. Lineage: Eukaryota; Fungi; Basidiomycota; Agaricomycetes; Agaricales; Amanitaceae.
UUGAAUGAAACUCCUGGUUGGAUGCUGUUGUGCUGGCCCUUUGUGGCAAUGUGCACACCUCUGGCCAUUUGUUUCUUCUGUUCCACCUGUGCACUGCCUGUAGACGCACUGUGUCUAUGAUAUUGGUUACACACACGCAAUGAUAUGUGGCAUAUAUAUGUGUUUAUAUAUAUAAAUA